GAGAGUAUAGCUCAAGUGGUAGAGUACAUGCUUAGCAUGCAUAAGGACCUGAGUUCAAUCCCCAGUACCUCCU
Molecule: transfer RNA, 73 nt
Filed under: Camelus bactrianus (Bactrian camel)
Lineage: Eukaryota; Metazoa; Chordata; Mammalia; Artiodactyla; Camelidae
Also listed under: 3 other names
Rfam family: tRNA
About the family: Transfer RNA (tRNA) molecules are approximately 80 nucleotides in length.
Source: Rfam by way of RNAcentral